RNAcentral lists this ribosomal RNA (233 nucleotides) under Pratylenchus penetrans. RNAcentral describes it as "partial large subunit ribosomal RNA". It matches the Rfam family "Eukaryotic large subunit ribosomal RNA", at positions 725 to 964 of the family's 3401-position model. The record is from RNAcentral. Lineage: Eukaryota; Metazoa; Nematoda; Chromadorea; Rhabditida; Pratylenchidae.
CUGAGCAAUCACGAUUGCCUGGAGCAACAUGGCCCCAUUCUGGUCGCUUGCGACGGGGUGGAGGAAGAGCGUACGCGGUGAGACCCGAAAGAUGGUGAACUAUUCCUGAGCAGGAUGAAGCCAGAGGAAACUCUGGUGGAAGUCCGAAGCGAUUCUGACGUGCAAAUCGAUCGUCUGACUUGGGUAUAGGGGCGAAAGACUAAUCGAACCAUCUAGUAGCUGGUUCCUUCCGA